UACGAACGCUGGCGGCAGGCCUAACACAUGCAAGUCGAGCGAGGACUUCGGUUCUAGCGGCGGACGGGUGAGUAACGCGUGGGAAUGUGCCCUUCUCUACGGAAUAGCCCUGGGAAACUGGGAGUAAUACCGUAUACGCCCUAUUGGGGAAAGAUUUAUCGGAGAAGGAUCAGCCCGCGUUGGAUUAGGUAGUUGGUGGGGUAAUGGCCUACCAAGCCGACGAUCCAUAGCUGGUUUGAGAGGAUGAUCAGCCACACUGGGACUGAGACACGGCCCAGACUCCUACGGGAGGCAGCAGUGGGGAAUCUUAGACAAUGGGGGCAACCCUGAUCUAGCCAUGCCGCGUGAGUGAUGAAGGCCUUAGGGUUGUAAAGCUCUUUCAGCUGGGAAGAUAAUGACGGUACCAGCAGAAGAAGCCCCGGCUAACUCCGUG
This 433-nucleotide ribosomal RNA is filed under the name uncultured bacterium. Its description in RNAcentral is "partial 16S ribosomal RNA". It matches the Rfam family "Bacterial small subunit ribosomal RNA", at positions 29 to 507 of the family's 1533-position model. The record is from RNAcentral.